This 324-nucleotide long non-coding RNA is filed under the name Vigna radiata. RNAcentral's name for it is "long non-coding RNA (VRAD_LNC001833)". The record is from RNAcentral. Lineage: Eukaryota; Viridiplantae; Streptophyta; Magnoliopsida; Fabales; Fabaceae.
UUUGUUCUUGAAUUAUUAUAUCUCUACAUUGGUGUGGUGGUGUUGUAUCCAACCUUUAACCAGCGAUCCUCUUCGAGUCGAGGUUAGUAAUACCUUCGUAAAACUGUUAAAACGGAUGGCGACUUCCGUUUACCCUUAAACGGAUAUUGACAUCCGUUGACGGAUUCCCACAUCCGUUUAAGCGUUUUCUAGAUUAUUUUAGAUUAUGUUUUUGUUAGUUUUAUUUUUUAAGAUUUGUUUUUAUUACUUUUAUUUUUUAAGAUUUGUUUUUAUUAGUUUCAUUUUUUUAGGAUUUGUUUUUAUUAGUUUUAUUUUUUUAAGAUU